AAUAUAAUAAAUUUAAAUAAAUAAUAAAUAAGAUCCCAAAAUCCAAAUUUUAAUGUCCGAUACAUCCAACAAAAGUCCAACAAAAUUUAAUCUAUACAUUAUGCGUUCUAAGAAAAUCGGGUACUUCAGCGCGAACAACCACGAACUUGAACCGAUUAUACCUACACCAAAUUAAAAGAACAAGUGAACAAAUACUCAAAUAAUUAUUUUAAUAAAUAAAUAAAAUAUAAAGAGAGAGAGCCGAUCUUUUCCGACACAACAUUUAAUGUUGCAAACAAAGUUUUCUAUGAGACAAUCAUUCUCCUGACAGAGAAGAAGAUUGAGAUCAAAUUUUGUCAGGCAACUUGCUGCCAUCUUUUGUAUGCUUUAAUAUACAAUCAAUUCCUUUCUUCACCCCACAUCUCAACCAAAUCUUCUUCCUUUAUAAUAUUUGCUGCACCAUUCGUUUCUCCUGCCUCUGCAGCAAAACAAGAAUUUUUCUUUAAUUUCCUACUCAAGAAAUCGAGAACCAAAUUCGAGAGAGGGAGCUAUCGAUAAUUCUCUCAAAAUCCGUUGAAGAUUUUCUUGGCAAAGAGCUACCAGUUGUGUUCGCUCGAAGAAGGCCCGUCGCACAUCCGGAGAGGCUGCUUGAACGACGGACAGUUUGGCACAACGGGGAGGCAGUUGAUGAAGGUCUUCUACGGUGGAUGGAUGAUGAUGGAGAACAUCCAACUUGGGAGCCGAUAGCGCUCAUCGAGAGGCAUUUUCCCUACCUCCUUGAGGACAAGGAGCCCGCUAUAGGGGGGGGGAGUUGAUACGAGUAUCGCACCAGUGGUAGUGUUGGAGGAUCCACCCGACGAAGAGCUGGAGCAGUCCUUCGAGACUGCACCGAUGAUGGAGCGUGAGCCUCCAGCGAAAGAGAGACAGUCCCGGCACCAAUGAGCCCGGAAGAGGCCGAACUAUCUUAAUGAUUAUAUUUAAUAUUAAUAUCUAGUUUUCUUUAUGUUUUAGUUAUUUAUGGAGACUUUAUUUAAUUAAACACUAUUUUGGGUCGAGCGUAAUUAUAAGUUCCUUUUCGGGUUUUCUUUGUUGAUUCUUUCCCGAAUCGUAGGUUAAAUCAACCUUAGGGUCCUAAGUAUAAAAAUGCCUUGUUAUUUCUCUUUUGCUCUUUUAUGAAAUAACAAUUUUGCCUUUUAAUUUCUCUGCAA
Long non-coding RNA from Salvia splendens (bonfire salvia), 1187 nucleotides. RefSeq lists it as uncharacterized. NCBI's taxonomy places the organism in Eukaryota, Viridiplantae, Streptophyta, Magnoliopsida, Lamiales, Lamiaceae. The record is from RefSeq and is a predicted model, not a curated record. The transcript is spliced from 3 exons.